GUGUCAGCCGCCGCGGUAAUACGAAGGGACCUAGCGUAGUUCGGAAUUACUGGGCUUAAAGAGUUCGUAGGUGGUUAAAAAAGUUGGUGGUGAAAUCCCAGAGCUUAACUCUGGAACUGCCAUCAAAACUUUUUAGCUAGAGUAUGAUAGAGGAAAGCAGAAUUUCUAGUGUAGAGGUGAAAUUCGUAGAUAUUAGAAAGAAUACCAAUUGCGAAGGCAGCUUUCUGGAUCAUUACUGACACUGAGGAACGAAAGCAUGGGUAGCGAAGAGGAUUAGAUACCCUCGUAGUCCAUGCCGUAAACGAUGUGUGUUAGACGUUGGAAAUUUAUUUUCAGUGUCGCAGCGAAAGCGAUAAACACACCGCCUGGGGAGUACGACCGCAAGGUUAAAACUCAAAUGAAUUGACGGGGACCCGCACAAGUAGUGGAACAUGUGGUUUAAUUCGAAGAUACGCGCAGAACCUUACCAACACUUGACAUGUUCGUCGCGACUCUAAGAGAUUAGAGUUUUCGGUUUGGCCGGACGAAACACAGGUGCUGCAUGGCUGUCGUCAGCUCGUGUCGUGAGAUGUUGGGUUAAGUCCCGCAACGAGCGCAACCCUUACUUUUAGUUGCCAUCAUUUAGUUGGGCACUCUGAAAGAACUGCCAGUGAUAAGCUGGAGGAAGGUGGGGAUGACGUCAAGUCCUCAUGGCCCUUAUGUGUUGGGCUACACACGUGCUACAAUGGUAUCUACAACAGGAAGCAAGAUGGCAACAUUAAGCAAAUCCUAAAAAGAUACCUCAGUUCGGAUUGCACUCUGCAACUCGAGUGCAUGAAGCUGGAAUUACUAGUAAUCGUGGAUCAGCGUGCCACGGUGAAUGCGUUCCCGGGUCUUGCACACACCGCCCGUC
RNAcentral lists this ribosomal RNA (892 nucleotides) under uncultured bacterium. RNAcentral describes it as "bacterial SSU rRNA". It matches the Rfam family "Bacterial small subunit ribosomal RNA", at positions 505 to 1398 of the family's 1533-position model. The record is from RNAcentral.